RNAcentral lists this ribosomal RNA (253 nucleotides) under uncultured bacterium. Its description in RNAcentral is "partial 16S ribosomal RNA". It matches the Rfam family "Bacterial small subunit ribosomal RNA", at positions 524 to 776 of the family's 1533-position model. The record is from RNAcentral.
UACGGAGGGUGCAAGCGUUACUCGGAAUUACUGGGCGUAAAGCGUGCGCAGGCGGUUUGUUAAGUCUGUUGUGAAAUCCCCGAGCUCAACUUGGGAAUUGCAAUGGAUACUGGCAAGCUGGAGUAUGGUAGAGGAAGGUGGAAUUCCCGGUGUAGCAGUGAAAUGCGUAGAGAUCGGGAGGAACACCAGUGGCGAAGGCGGCCUUCUGGACCAAUACUGACGCUCAUGCACGAAAGCGUGGGGAGCAAACAGG